UUGAUCAAGAGUAUUUAGAAACUUAUCACUAAUUAAUGUAUGUCUCAAAUUCUCAACACCUUAAAAAUAUACAAAAUCAUCUUUGUUAAUUUCUAGGACAAAUCAUGGAUAAAAAAAUAUGAUUGGAAUAAAACUAUCCUUUAUUAAUAAUAAAAAUAUUACAAGUAUAAAAGUAAAUCCUAAAAUUAUAAAAUAUGUCAGCCAACAAUUGACUUCUAGGGCACUCAUCUAAUGAACUCCCACUUGACCUAAAGCCAAUUAGUCAUAUACC
This 271-nucleotide long non-coding RNA is filed under the name Elaeis guineensis (African oil palm). RNAcentral's name for it is "long non-coding RNA (EGUI_LNC014644)". The record is from RNAcentral. Lineage: Eukaryota; Viridiplantae; Streptophyta; Magnoliopsida; Arecales; Arecaceae.